UCAGAACCACAAAAAUAUGAGGCCUUGGUCAACACUGGUGCGCAGUGUGCAUUAAUCCCGUGAAAUGUGGGGGCAGAAUCUGUUUCUGUUGCUGGUGUGACAUGGGGAUCAUAGCAUUUGAACCUGCUGGAAGCUGAUGUGAGCCUGACUGGAAAUGAAUGGAAGAAACACCCUAUUGUGUCUGGCACAGAGGCCCCAUAUUGGGCACUAAAAAAUGCAUUUGUCCUGGUUUAGGGUAAGUUUGGGAGAAAACCUCUAAAGGGGUUUCUCUAGAAAGCAGAUUCAAGUGGCUUCUCCCCCAGCUGGUUCAGGAAGAUAUUUUCUCAGAGAAAAGUGGAUUUAUUUAACAGGCAAAACAUUCACCAGCACAGAAAAUGAACAAUAUUAGAAAAUAAAACCUCUUGCCACUCUGAAGACAUGACAAACUCAGAAAGCAGAUUGCCACUCUGAACAGUUGACAAACUCAGAAAGUCUGCUUUGUGGGCUGUAGCUCAGCUCGCUCUGUGAUCAGCCCCUCCGGUGCUGGAAAUGCCGCGGCUCGGCCCAGCCCGGUGGGCCGCAGGUGGAGCUGCUGGUGCUUUUCUGGGUGUUCAAUCCAGAGCAGACUUGAACAGGUCCAAGAAAAUAAAAACCACAGUCCAGGGAACUUCUCCAGCUCAGCUAGCUAAAACUAACUAAAAACCAAAGCAGAGCUCUCUCUUCCUGUCUGUCUGGGCCUGAUGGGAUGCAUCUCAGAGAACAGAAGUAGAUGGGGGAUGUUAUGGCAGGAAUUUUCUCCAUCAGCAAUCAAAAAUCUGAAAAGUCUGAGGAACUCCUCACUGACCCAUGCUGUGAGGCAGUGACCCAUGGGCACUGGCCCAUGCUGUUCCAGUUUAAGGUAUGAGAGAGGACCCAGGAACCUGUAUACUGGUGAGUCUAGCCUCAGCGCUUGAAAAAUUGUGGAGAAGAUGGGUAGACUGGGUGCCACCAAAAGACAUUUAAAGAACAACUCAGUCAGGCACAUUCAGCAUGUGUUCAGAAAGGAAAGUCCUGCUUAACAAAUCUGAUCUCCUUCAGGAUAAGGUCACCCAUCCAAAAUGAAGGGAACGUGGUGGAUAUGUUGCUUUUUGGCAUUUAGUGAUGCUUUUGUUACUGUCCCUCACAGCAUCUUUGUGUACUGAACAGCUACCAGCGGUGUUCCUCAGGGCCUUGCUCCGGAGCUGGUCAAUAUUUUGGUCCAUUAUCUGGUUGUGGGAGUGGAAUGCCCCAUUAGCAAGCUUGUUGAUAAUAACACAUUAGGAGGUGUUGUUGACUCACUUGAGAGACAAGAAGCCUUGCAGGGGGAUCUGGAUAAAUUAGAGCAUUGAGCAAUCAUCAGUGGCAUGAAAUUUAACCAGUCCAAGUGCUAGGAGGCAGUAAUGCCUGGCACAGGUCUCAGCUGGGAGAGGAGUGUGUGGUGAGCAGCCCUGCAGGAAGACAUCUGAGGAUGCUAGUUGGCAGCAGGCUCAAGUAAAGCCAGCUGUGUUCUCAGGCAACCAAGAGGGCAAGCCACAUGAAACACAUCAAAAAAAACACAGCCAGACAGUCAGGAGUGGGGAUUGUCCUGCUGUGUUCAGCACAGGUGCAGCCUCACCUGGGAACACUGCUGGGCCACACCACUGCAGGAGCAUGCCAAGGUCCUCGAAUGCUUCCAUAGGAGGAAAACCAAGCUGGGGAGAACGCUGGAAGGUUGAGGAUCAUCUGCUUCCAGGAUUACCUCAGCUAUGGAUUCCAGAUGGAAAAUGCACAUCAACAAAUUCUCCAGCCUAUACAAUCCAUUAAGACUGGCUUUUAUAGUGGACCAACCUAAUAAAGUCUACCCUUGGAUAACCUUA
Molecule: long non-coding RNA, 1853 nt
Organism: Passer domesticus (house sparrow)
Lineage: Eukaryota; Metazoa; Chordata; Aves; Passeriformes; Passeridae
Exons: 2
Source: RefSeq, a predicted model, not a curated record